AUCAAAUUUUAGGCCAAAUCCUAAAUCCUAAAUCAAAUCCUAAAUAAAUCCUAAAUCCUAAAUCAAACCAUAGACAAAGCCUAAAUCCUAAAUUCUAAACCAAAUCCUAAAAAAAGCCUAAAUCUUAAAUCAAAUCUUAAAUAAAUCUUUAAUUCUAAAAUCUAAAUAAAAUUUUAAUCAAAUACUAAAUUCUAAAUUAAAUCCUAAAAAAAUCCUAAAUCUUAAACCAAAUCCUAGACAAAUCCUAAAUCCUAAAUCAAAUCUUAAGGCAGAUUAGAACUCUAAUAUUUAUUGAUUAAAUUAUUGAUCUUGCUUAAGUAUUUACACACCUUUCAAAUUCAAAGUUAAAAAAUGAUACAACAUAUUUAAAGAUAAUUUUACUUACUAAAUAGAAGAAAAAUCCUAAAAUCUACUUAGGGAUUAGCAAGCCUCCUACUCCAAUCUAAAUGUUGAACUUCUAGUACCAAUAUCUUGUUUUCAAAUUAUUUAAUUAUUUUCAAAUUUCACAUAUAUAUAGAAAAUCAAGUCUAUUACCUUUACAUGUAAAUUUUACUCUAAUCCAACUAGUGGAUUGCUAAAGAUCUUGGAAGCUCUAAAUGUCCCUCAAAGUCCAAUUUCUAAGACCUUAACUUAUUUGAAAUUCAAUAACCUUUAAUUCAACUAUUUGAUCAAGCUCAAA
RNAcentral lists this long non-coding RNA (679 nucleotides) under Physcomitrium patens. Its description in RNAcentral is "long non-coding RNA (PPAT_LNC000639)". The record is from RNAcentral. Lineage: Eukaryota; Viridiplantae; Streptophyta; Bryopsida; Funariales; Funariaceae.